This 72-nucleotide transfer RNA is filed under the name Camelus bactrianus (Bactrian camel). It matches the Rfam family "tRNA". From Rfam's summary of the family: Transfer RNA (tRNA) molecules are approximately 80 nucleotides in length. Lineage: Eukaryota; Metazoa; Chordata; Mammalia; Artiodactyla; Camelidae. RNAcentral also lists the same sequence under 2 other names. The record is from Rfam by way of RNAcentral.
GAGGGUAUAGCUCAGUGGCAAAGUGCGUGCUUAGCAUGCAUGAGGUCCUGGGUUCAAUUCUCAGUACCUCCA